GACGAAGGGGGCUAGCGUUGUUCGGAAUUACUGGGCGUAAAGCGCGUGGAGGCGGUUGUCCAAGUUGGAUGUGAAAGCCUUGAGCUCAACUCAAGAAAUGCAUUCAGGACUGGGCGACUAGAGGACCGGAGAGGAUAGUGGAAUUCCCAGUGUAGUGGUGAAAUACGUAGAGAUUGGGAAGAACACCAGUGGCGAAGGCGGCUAUCUGGACGGUUUCUGACGCUAAGACGCGAAAGCGUGGGGAGCAAACAGG
RNAcentral lists this ribosomal RNA (253 nucleotides) under uncultured bacterium. RNAcentral's name for it is "partial 16S ribosomal RNA". It matches the Rfam family "Bacterial small subunit ribosomal RNA", at positions 524 to 776 of the family's 1533-position model. The record is from RNAcentral.